UACGGAGGAUGCAAGCGUUAUCCGGAAUGAUUGGGCGUAAAGCGUCCGCAGGUGGCGAUGUAAGUCUGCUGUUAAAGAGUGAGGCUCAACCUCAUAAAGGCAGUGGAAACUACAUGGCUAGAGUGCGUUCGGGGCAGAGGGAAUUCCUGGUGCAGCGGUGAAAUGCGUAGAGAUCAGGAAGAACACCGGUGGCGAAAGCGCUCUGCUAGGCCGCAACUGACACUGAGGGACGAAAGCUAGGGGAGCGAAUGGG
Molecule: ribosomal RNA, 253 nt
Filed under: uncultured bacterium
Lineage: Bacteria
Description: partial 16S ribosomal RNA
Rfam family: Bacterial small subunit ribosomal RNA
Source: RNAcentral